GAUGAACGCUGGCGGCGUGCCUAACACAUGCAAGUCGAACGAGGUCCAUGAGAGCUUGCUCUCGGAAGACCUAGUGGCGAACGGGUGAGUAACACGUGAGAAACCUGCCUCGGAGUGGGGAAUAACUCGGGGAAACUCGAGCUAAUACCGCAUAUCUUCACAUGAUCGCAUGGUCGAGUGAAGAAAGAAUUUCGCUCUGAGAGGGUCUCGCGGCCUAUCAGCUUGUUGGUGGGGUAACGGCCCACCAAGGCAACGACGGGUAGCUGGUUUGAGAGAACGAUCAGCCACACUGGGACUGAGACACGGCCCAGACUCCUACGGGAGGCUG
This 328-nucleotide ribosomal RNA is filed under the name uncultured Actinomycetes bacterium. RNAcentral describes it as "bacterial SSU rRNA". It matches the Rfam family "Bacterial small subunit ribosomal RNA", at positions 28 to 351 of the family's 1533-position model. Lineage: Bacteria; Bacillati; Actinomycetota; Actinomycetes. The record is from RNAcentral.